This 254-nucleotide ribosomal RNA is filed under the name uncultured bacterium. RNAcentral describes it as "partial 16S ribosomal RNA". It matches the Rfam family "Bacterial small subunit ribosomal RNA", at positions 524 to 776 of the family's 1533-position model. The record is from RNAcentral.
CACGUAGGCACCAAGCGUUGUCCGGAUUUAUUGGGCGUAAAGAGCUCGUAGGCGGUUCGAUAAGUCGGGUGUGAAAUCUUUGGGCUUAACCCAAAGCGUGCAUUCGAUACUGUUGUGACUAGAGUUCGGUAGGGGAGUGGGGAAUUCCUAGUGUAGCGGUGAAAUGCGCAGAUAUUAGGAGGAACACCGGUGGCGAAGGCGACCACCUGGACUGAUACUGACACUGAGGUGCGAAAGCGUGGGUAGCAAACAGG